Salmo salar (Atlantic salmon) is the source of this 58-nucleotide non-coding RNA. The record is from Rfam. Lineage: Eukaryota; Metazoa; Chordata; Actinopteri; Salmoniformes; Salmonidae.
UGGCUCAGUUGGUAGAGCAUGGUGUGUGCAACGCCAGGGUUGUGGGUUCGAUUCCCAC